AUUGAACGCUGGCGGCAUGCCUUACACAUGCAAGUCGAACGGUAACGGGCCUUCGGGUGCCGACGAGUGGCGAACGGGUGAGUAAUGCAUCGGAACGUACCUUUCAGUGGGGGAUAACGUAGCGAAAGUUACGCUAAUACCGCAUAUUCUGUGAGCAGGAAAGCAGGGGAUCGCAAGACCUUGCGCUGAUUGAGCGGCCGAUGCCAGAUUAGCUAGUUGGUGAGGUAAAGGCUCACCAAGGCGACGAUCUGUAGCGGGUCUGAGAGGAUGAUCCG
RNAcentral lists this ribosomal RNA (275 nucleotides) under uncultured bacterium. Its description in RNAcentral is "partial 16S ribosomal RNA". It matches the Rfam family "Bacterial small subunit ribosomal RNA", at positions 30 to 307 of the family's 1533-position model. The record is from RNAcentral.